RNAcentral lists this ribosomal RNA (433 nucleotides) under uncultured bacterium. RNAcentral's name for it is "partial 16S ribosomal RNA". It matches the Rfam family "Bacterial small subunit ribosomal RNA", at positions 29 to 507 of the family's 1533-position model. The record is from RNAcentral.
AACGAACGCUGGCGGCAUGCCUAACACAUGCGAGUCGAACGAGACCUUCGGGUCUAGUGGCGCACGGGUGCGUAACGCGUGGGAACCUGCCCUUAGGUUCGGAAUAACUCCCCGAAAGGGGUGCUAAUACCGGAUAAUGUCUUCGGACCAAAGAUUUAUCGCCUUUGGAUGGGCCCGCGUUGGAUUAGCUAGUUGGUAGGGUAAAAGCCUACCAAGGCGACGAUCCAUAGCUGGUCUGAGAGGAUGAUCAGCCACACUGGGACUGAGACACGGCCCAGACUCCUGCGGGAGGCAGCAGUGGGGAAUAUUGGACAAUGGGCGAAAGCCUGAUCCAGCAAUGCCGCGUGAGUGAUGAAGGCCUUAGGGUUGUAAAGCUCUUUUACCCGGGAUGAUAAUGACAGUACCGGGAGAAUAAGCUCCGGCUAACUCCGUG